This is a long non-coding RNA of Hippocampus zosterae (dwarf seahorse), 1128 nucleotides long. RefSeq lists it as uncharacterized. Lineage: Eukaryota; Metazoa; Chordata; Actinopteri; Syngnathiformes; Syngnathidae. The record is from RefSeq and is a predicted model, not a curated record. The transcript is spliced from 2 exons.
ACAUGAACAACGUCACAUUUCUCCACUGUAUUUUUUUCCCAAUAAUUCGAUUCUGAAAUUCCAGCUAGCUGCACAUCUCCUUUUCAACGUAACGACCCAGCAUUAGCUUUACGUGCUGUUAGCUCGUUGGAAUACAUUUGCAAUUGUAAGGUGCUAAAGAUUAGAAAAAGCAAUGAUCGUGUACCAAACCACGACCAAUUUUAACCAACCUCUUCGGAAAGGGUGAUGGUGUGGGUCGGCAUCUCCUUCACCGGAAAAACAAGGUGUAGCUUCAUUGAAGGGAGUCUUAGUCCGUAGAUUACGCAAUGAGAUUCUUCAAGCAAUGGCAGCCCCAUUGCACUACAGUCUGGGACCAAACUCCUUCCUCUAAGAUGACAACGCUCACUCCCACAUUCAAUUCCGCUCCUCAUGUCAGAUCGGGCUGUUCCUUGCAAAAGUGUCACAGCUUAAAACGGUUAUCAAGAGGCCUUCCAAUGGUAUAUUUAUUCUUAAGACGCAGAAUAACAACACAGAACUAACCGUACAAACAUAAAUGUCUGUUUAUAUCUGACAUGGACUCAUGGGCUUGUGUAUCUCUAUAGUGCUGUAUUUGCUACAACAGAGAAGCUCUGCCUUCCAGCAAGAAGGUUCUGAAUUUGGAUGUGUUCAAUACCUUACGGUGACAGGAUUACAUGUGUGGGAAUGGGUUCUUUCCGGGCAAUCUGGUUUCUCAAUAUUAUCACCUCAAGAUGUAAUGUACUUUAGACAUGGCUGUCCAAAUGAUAAUGGGUAGUAGUGCACUGUCAUGUAUGGCCCUACACUAUAUGUUCAUAAAAUUUACCAAUGAACAAUUCUUUCAAUUUUUUUCCCUCCAAUUUAAUCGCUUGGAGGGAUUUGACCCAAUGAGCUCAAUCAUCAGAUAUAUACAGUAUCAAUCAUCACUCUUAAUUUAAAGAGUAGUUUAAAAAAAAAGUUUUGCUUCUUGUGACAGUCAAACUAUUAACAUGAAUUCACACAUUAGCAAAACUUGAAUUCCAAUCACCUGUCUUAGUUUUACUACGAACUGUAAUGUGCCACACUAUGAUGAGCAACUGCCAUUUACCGUCAUCAUCACUACUACACAGUUCAAAAGGUACACAGCUCUAUAAG